RNAcentral lists this ribosomal RNA (496 nucleotides) under uncultured bacterium. Its description in RNAcentral is "partial 16S ribosomal RNA". It matches the Rfam family "Bacterial small subunit ribosomal RNA", at positions 28 to 506 of the family's 1533-position model. The record is from RNAcentral.
GAUGAACGCUGGCGGCGUGCCUAAUACAUGCAAGUCGAGCGAACGGACGAGAGGCUUGCUUCUCUGAUGUUAGCGGCGGACGGGUGAGUAACACGUGGAUAACCUACCUAUAAGACUGGGAUAACUUCGGGAAACCGGAGCUAAUACCGGAUAAUAUUUUGAACCGCAUGGUUCAAAAGUGAAAGACGGUCUUGCUGUCACUUAUAGAUGGAUCCGCGCUGCAUUAGCUAGUUGGUAAGGUAACGGCUUACCAAGGCAACGAUGCAUAGCCGACCUGAGAGGGUGAUCGGCCACACUGGAACUGAGACACGGUCCAGACUCCUACGGGAGGCAGCAGUAGGGAAUCUUCCGCAAUGGGCGAAAGCCUGACGGAGCAACGCCGCGUGAGUGAUGAAGGUCUUCGGAUCGUAAAACUCUGUUAUUAGGGAAGAACAUAUGUGUAAGUAACUGUGCACAUCUUGGCGGUACCUAAUCAGAAAGCCACGGCUAACUACGU